GGGGAAUAUUGGACAAUGGGCGAAAGCCUGAUCCAGCCAUGCCGCGUGUGUGAAGAAGGUCUUCGGAUUGUAAAGCACUUUAAGUUGGGAGGAAGGGCAGUAAAUUAAUACUUUGCUGUUUUGACGUUACCGACAGAAUAAGCACCGGCUAACUCUGUGCCAGCAGCCGCGGUAAUACAGAGGGUGCAAGCGUUAAUCGGAAUUACUGGGCGUAAAGCGCGCGUAGGUGGUUCGUUAAGUUGGAUGUGAAAUCCCCGGGCUCAACCUGGGAACUGCAUUCAAAACUGACGAGCUAGAGUAUGGUAGAGGGUGGUGGAAUUUCCUGUGUAGCGGUGAAAUGCGUAGAUAUAGGAAGGA
This 357-nucleotide ribosomal RNA is filed under the name uncultured bacterium. RNAcentral's name for it is "partial 16S ribosomal RNA". It matches the Rfam family "Bacterial small subunit ribosomal RNA", at positions 356 to 705 of the family's 1533-position model. The record is from RNAcentral.